AAAGAAUCGAAAAGAAACGAGAUACUUUUGUUACUGAUACUGGAAUUGGAAGAAAAUUAGACAGAAAGGAGGAAGAGUAAUUGGAAAAGAAGAAUAGAGAUGAAAUUAAAGAAAUAGAAGAAAGUAUUCUGCAGAGGAGGAAGAAAGAUAGAGAAAUUAAGGAAAAGAGGGAGAAGAAGAAGAAUUAGGGCUCAGCCAAGAAGAAAGAAGAAAAAUAAAGGGAAAGAAUGGAAGAAAUUUCAGGGGAAGAAGCAAGAAGAUAGAACAGAAGAAGAUAUUGAGAAAGAAGGGAAAGAGAGAAAGGGAUAAAGAAGAAGAGAGAAACCUGGAAUUUGGAAGACUGCCACUGAUCUCUUGUGGUUGUGACUCCCACAAACUGAUUUGGAAGCAAGUCCACUGGACAACAGUGCUCUGAUACCAAUUUGUUAAGUAACAGACUUGUACAGCCCAUUCGAAACAGAGAAAUAGAAAGAGACUUGUUGAGAAUAGAACAGAAAGGGGAGAAGAUUCAAAGAGAAUUAUAGGAGAGAGAAAUAUAAUUCUAUGUAUUGAUUCUUGGAAUGCCUUGCAAGAAUACCAAUUGUUAGGGUUCUAGACAGACCCCUAACAAGCAGUUACUGAUUCAGAGAAAGAAGAAAAAAAUGAAAGAGAGGGUAAUAGGGAGGAAUAGAAGCAGAAA
Molecule: unclassified non-coding RNA, 679 nt
Filed under: Hevea brasiliensis (rubber tree)
Lineage: Eukaryota; Viridiplantae; Streptophyta; Magnoliopsida; Malpighiales; Euphorbiaceae
Source: RNAcentral